Molecule: long non-coding RNA, 352 nt
Filed under: Musa acuminata (dwarf banana)
Lineage: Eukaryota; Viridiplantae; Streptophyta; Magnoliopsida; Zingiberales; Musaceae
Description: long non-coding RNA (MACU_LNC002448)
Source: RNAcentral
GGCCGGUCCGGGUCGGCUCUACGUGGGUCUGCCCUUGGACGUGGUCUCCGACGGCAACGUCGUCAACCACGGCAAGGCCAUCGCCGCCGGUCUCCGCGCCCUCGCCCUCCUCGGCGUUGAUGGAGUCGAACUCCCCAUCUCCUGGGGCGUGGCGAUGGACUCCGGCGACUGGUCCUCCUACCUCGCCGUCGCCGCCAUGGCGCGCGACGCCGGCCUUCGCCUCCGCGUCUCCCUCCACCUCCACUGCCACCGCCGCCCUCGCCUCCCCCUCCCCAAAUCGGUCGACUCCGCCGCCGCUACAGACCCCGACAUCCUAUUCACUGACCGCGCCGGCCGCCGCCGUGCCGACUGC